CUUCGAUGAGCACGUGGUCAUGAAUACCGAAAUGCGACAUCGCCUCGUAGGGGACGGGUUCUACCCAAUACGUAUAGGUGACCGUCGUAGACUUAUCUCCAAACCCGUGAUCAAGCGAGGGAGAGAGGCAGAAAAAAAAAAAACAGAUGUGCAACGUACCCCCUGGAAGGAAGCCACCCCAGGCAGCAAGGAAGAAGGCAGUCUCGGUUUCCACAUUCGGUAGGAACACAACAUGGAGGUGGAACGUCACAAGGACUUAUGACCAUCUCUUGAAGUGGCAGAAGAACGACGUCGUAUAGUACAAACCUGGUUCAUCAGAAGAGAGUUUCUCGUGUAUAAGGCAGCUAGACUUCGCAGGACCAGCCUCAAUUGUGAAGGUUAGCCCAUGUCUACGUGACAACUGGAGCAGCAGUCCCCGGCCCGCAGCGAAUUACCACAAACUGCGCAAACCUCGACGACCAACAUUCGAGCUCGCCUCACCUACAUCAAAAUUUCAACGGAAAGCUGGUCAGAGACGCCUCAUAAGUUGCCAUCAACGACUUCGUUCGUAUCAUUCAUCACGGAAACCUCGCCGCCGUACAAGCAGGCAGACCCUUCCCAGCGGACGCCUAGCGGGAGACCCCGUGUUGCAAAUGCUUUAACGACCAGUCAGCUUUCACGUACCCCCUGGUGGCCCAUUCAGGAGCAGGAGGCGGGUCUUUUCCAACGACCCUUCUAGCAUUUUGCCCUCGCCGACGGACUCACGCACCCUCUACGCAUCUCCACCCUUCAUCCUCCAUGCGUCUUCUUUUUUCUUUUUUUGUCUUUGGGUCUAUGGUAGUGACGACGCCCACUUCUGGGUGGCCAACAACGGCGAACCGAUUCUAUCAUUACCCCCCCCCCCCUUAAAAUGUUGUUCAGCAUGCAAUUGUCUGUGCAUGCAUACUUUCAGGAGGCAGCACUUGAAACAUAGCUCACCAAAAAAAAAAGUGCAUCUUUGGUCAUUGUGCCAAACGCAUUUAAAUGCGGUAACUUUAUAUAGGGUUACCGUUGGCGACAAUUUUUGGUGACGCGGUCCUACGGACGGGCCAGUCCACCGUGGGUGCGCAGUUAUCGCUUUAAAACUAGACAGGUAUGUAACCUGCUCUUCUCGCCCCGAAUGACCUUCCCCGUAAACCACGUGCGGGUUUGCGCUCCGUAUAAGCAGUUUGAACUAACCCGGGAUUUGGUGUUGGCACUUCCACACCUUGCGCUGGUAUGCAACACGUAUGAUAUGCUGGUUUGUAUGCGUAACCAUAUCGCGUGAACGGAGCCUUCGAUGUAGGCUUUAUGUUAGUCAAUUGGAAGAUGGUCGAAAAAUGCCUUCCGCACGCAAAAAAAAAAGUUUAUUUGUGCGUCAGCAUGCGAAAUAACACUGAAAAGGAUGGCACGGACAACAAAGUUAUGGGCGCAAAAACGUAAACUAUCUACCAAUAUAAUUUACGAGCUAAUAAUACCCCAAUUUCCCUUCACCUCACUGCCACAUCGUAAAUACCACGCGAGACCGUUAUCCGACUUAAUCGUUAGAUUAGCAUAAUCAAACAGCUCAACCAGCUCUGGCUCUCCACGAAAUAUGCUUGUGAACUCUAGCUACCGGAACACCACCAGAAGGAAAUAGGGAGUACAUCGUGCCAUCUUCCAAAAGGCUCCAAUGUGUUGGGGUUAUACAUCCAGCUUCCACCUGCAAUUUUUCAGCGAUGAGUUCUCUGUCGACGAAUUUCUUCCACUUGAGACUACGCAGCGCUAACACAAUGUCCUUUAACUAUUUAUUAUGGAUUACUGAUGAUAAAGUUUUCACCAGAAGGAGCCUCAUU
Long non-coding RNA from Ornithodoros turicata, 1832 nucleotides. RefSeq lists it as uncharacterized. NCBI's taxonomy places the organism in Eukaryota, Metazoa, Arthropoda, Arachnida, Ixodida, Argasidae. The transcript has 5 exons. The record is from RefSeq and is a predicted model, not a curated record.